This 252-nucleotide ribosomal RNA is filed under the name uncultured bacterium. RNAcentral describes it as "partial 16S ribosomal RNA". It matches the Rfam family "Bacterial small subunit ribosomal RNA", at positions 524 to 776 of the family's 1533-position model. The record is from RNAcentral.
UACGGAGGGUGCAAGCGUUAAUCGGAAUUACUGGGCGUAAAGCGCGCGUAGGCGGCUAGUAAGCUAAAUGUGAAAUCCCUGGGCUCAACCUGGGAACUGCAUGUAGAACUGCUUAGCUAGAGUGCAGAAGAGGAGUGUGGAAUUUCAGGUGUGGCGGUGAAAUGCGUAGAGAUCUGAAGGAACAUCAGUGGCGAAGGCGACACUCUGGUCUGACACUGACGCUGAGGUGCGACAGCGUGGGUAGCAAACAGG